This 72-nucleotide transfer RNA is filed under the name Camelus bactrianus (Bactrian camel). It matches the Rfam family "tRNA". From Rfam's summary of the family: Transfer RNA (tRNA) molecules are approximately 80 nucleotides in length. The record is from Rfam by way of RNAcentral. RNAcentral also lists the same sequence under 3 other names. Lineage: Eukaryota; Metazoa; Chordata; Mammalia; Artiodactyla; Camelidae.
GUGGGUAUAGCUCAGUGGUAGAGCACAUGCUUAGCAUGCACGAGGUCCUGGGUUCAAUUCCCAGUACUUCCA